Molecule: unclassified non-coding RNA, 379 nt
Filed under: uncultured fungus
Lineage: Eukaryota; Fungi
Description: partial contains 5.8S ribosomal RNA and internal transcribed spacer 2
Rfam family: 5.8S ribosomal RNA (bases 1-133)
Source: RNAcentral
UGGCUCUCGCAUCGAUGAAGAACGCAGCGAAAUGCGAUAAGUAAUGUGAAUUGCAGAAUUCAGUGAAUCAUCGAAUCUUUGAACGCACCUUGCGCUCCUUGGUAUUCCGAGGAGCAUGCCUGUUUGAGUGUCAUGGAAUCAUCAACUCUUAUUUCUUUUUCAGAGAUGAGAGCUUGGACUUGGAGGUCUUUGCUGGCUUUUCGUGCCGGCUCCUCUUGAAUGCAUUAGCUUGAACCUUUGCUGUAUCGGCCUCGGUGUGAUAAUUGUCUACGCUGUGGCUGUGAGGCUUUUUUAAAAAACGGGCUCAGCUUCCAAUGGUCUGCUUGCGGACAACAUCUUAUUGACCUCUGACCUCAAAUCAGGUAGGAUUACCCGCUGA